UACGGGGGGUGCGAGCGUUGUCCGGAAUCACUGGGCGUAAAGGGCGCGUAGGUGGUCUUGUAAGUCUGUGGUGAAAGCCCGGGGCUCAACCCCGGGUCUGCCGUGGAUACUGUGAGACUUGAGUACUGUAGAGGCGGGUAGAAUGCCGGGUGUAGCGGUGGAAUGCGUAGAGAUCCGGCAGAAGACCGGUGGCGAAGGCGGCCCGCUGGGCAGUAACUGACACUGAGGCGCGACAGCGUGGGGAGCAAACAGG
RNAcentral lists this ribosomal RNA (253 nucleotides) under uncultured bacterium. RNAcentral's name for it is "partial 16S ribosomal RNA". It matches the Rfam family "Bacterial small subunit ribosomal RNA", at positions 524 to 776 of the family's 1533-position model. The record is from RNAcentral.